Molecule: ribosomal RNA, 484 nt
Filed under: uncultured bacterium
Lineage: Bacteria
Description: partial 16S ribosomal RNA
Rfam family: Bacterial small subunit ribosomal RNA
Source: RNAcentral
AUUGAACGCUGGCGGCAGGCCUAACACAUGCAAGUCGAGCGGAUGAAGGGAGCUUGCUCCUGGAUUCAGCGGCGGACGGGUGAGUAAUGCCUAGGAAUCUGCCUGGUAGGGGGGGAUAACGUCCGGAAACGGGCGCUAAUACCGCAUACGUCCUGAGGGAGAAAGUGGGAGAUCUUCGGACCCCACGCUAUCAGAUGAGCCUAGGUCGGAUUAGCUAGUUGGUGGGGUAACGGCCUACCAAGGCGACGAUCCGUAACUGGUCUGAGAGGAUGAUCAGUCACACUGGAACUGGACCACGGUCCAGACUCCUACGGGAGGCAGCAGUGGGGAAUAUUGGACAAUGGGCGGAAGCCUGAUCCAACCAUGCCGCGUGUGUGAAGAAGGUCUUCGGAUUGUAAAGCACUUUAAGUUGGGAGGAAGGGCAGUAAGUUAAUACCUUGCUGUUUUGACGUUACCAACAGAAUAAGCACCGGCUAACUUCGUG